UAGGUCUUCGCGAUCGUGAGCUCUGUUGUUACGGAAGAACAAAUGUGUAAUUAACUGGGCACAUCUUGACGGUACCUAACCAGAAAGCCACGGCUAACUACGUGCCAGCAGCCGCGGUAAUACGUAGGUGGCAAGCGUUAUCCGGAAUUAUUGGGCGUAAAGCGCGCGUAGGCGGUUUUUUAAGUCUGAUGUGAAAGCCCACGGCUCAACCGUGGAGGGUCAUUGGAAACUGGAAAACUUGAGUGCAGAAGAGGAAAGUGGAAUUCCAUGUGUAGCGGUGAAAUGCGCAGAGAUAUGGAGGAACCCCAGUGGCUGCAGACGA
This 322-nucleotide ribosomal RNA is filed under the name Staphylococcus sp. RNAcentral's name for it is "bacterial SSU rRNA". It matches the Rfam family "Bacterial small subunit ribosomal RNA", at positions 411 to 724 of the family's 1533-position model. The record is from RNAcentral. Lineage: Bacteria; Bacillati; Bacillota; Bacilli; Caryophanales; Staphylococcaceae.